This 465-nucleotide ribosomal RNA is filed under the name uncultured bacterium. RNAcentral describes it as "partial 16S ribosomal RNA". It matches the Rfam family "Bacterial small subunit ribosomal RNA", at positions 28 to 507 of the family's 1533-position model. The record is from RNAcentral.
GACGAACGCUGGCGGCGUGCUUAACACAUGCAAGUCGAACGGAAAGGCCCCUUUGUGGGUACUCGGGUGGCGGACGGGUGCGUAACACGUAAGUAACCUGCCCUUGCCUUCAGGAUAACUUCAGGAAAGGGGGGCUAAUACCGGAAAGGAAUCCUUUCUUCAUGGGGGGGGUUGGAAAGCUUCGGGCGGUUUGGGUGGACUUGCGGGGUAUCAGCUUGUUGGGGGGGUAGUGGCUUACCAAAGCGUUGUCGGGUGGCCAGCCUGCGUAGGCGACCGGCCACCUUGGGACUGAGGUGAGGCCCAGACUCCGACGGGAGGCAGCAGGGGGGAAUAUUGAACAAGGGGCGGCAGGCUGAUGCAGCAACGCCGCGGGCGGGAUGACGGUCUUCGGGUUGUAAACCGCUUUCAGCAGGGGCGAAGCUUGUGGUGACGGUACCUGCAGAAGAAGCACCGGCUAACUACGUG